This is a small nuclear RNA of Apodemus sylvaticus (European woodmouse), 105 nucleotides long. NCBI's taxonomy places the organism in Eukaryota, Metazoa, Chordata, Mammalia, Rodentia, Muridae. The record is from RefSeq and is a predicted model, not a curated record.
CUGCCCAUUUUCAGGAGCAUGCAUACUAAAAUUAGUAUAAUACAGAGAAGAUUAACAUGACCCUUGUUCAAAUACAACACAUAAACUCAUAAGUUAUAUAUUUUA